RNAcentral lists this ribosomal RNA (1311 nucleotides) under Salmonella enterica subsp. enterica serovar Berta. RNAcentral's name for it is "partial 23S ribosomal RNA". It matches the Rfam family "Bacterial large subunit ribosomal RNA", at positions 1024 to 2238 of the family's 2925-position model. Lineage: Bacteria; Pseudomonadati; Pseudomonadota; Gammaproteobacteria; Enterobacterales; Enterobacteriaceae. The record is from RNAcentral. RNAcentral also lists the same sequence under 1 other name.
AACCCAGACCGCCAGCUAAGGUCCCAAAGUCAUGGUUAAGUGGGAAACGAUGUGGGAAGGCCCAGACAGCCAGGAUGUUGGCUUAGAAGCAGCCAUCAUUUAAAGAAAGCGUAAUAGCUCACUGGUCGAGUCGGCCUGCGCGGAAGAUGUAACGGGGCUAAACCAUGCACCGAAGCUGCGGCAGCGAACGUAUCACUUAAAGUGAUUCAGCGGGUUACGAUUGACGGAGCGAAGCGACGUCAAAGCGUAUACAAAGUCGAGUCGGUUUAAGGAUACGUUCGUUGGGUAGGGGAGCGUUCUGUAAGCCUGUGAAGGUGGCCUGUGAGGGUUGCUGGAGGUAUCAGAAGUGCGAAUGCUGACAUAAGUAACGAUAAAGCGGGUGAAAAGCCCGCUCGCCGGAAGACCAAGGGUUCCUGUCCAACGUUAAUCGGGGCAGGGUGAGUCGACCCCUAAGGCGAGGCCGAAAGGCGUAGUCGAUGGGAAACGGGUUAAUAUUCCCGUACUUGGUGUUACUGCGAAGGGGGGACGGAGAAGGCUAUGUUGGCCGGGCGACGGUUGUCCCGGUUUAAGCGUGUAGGCUGGUUUUCCAGGCAAAUCCGGAAAAUCAAGGCUGAGGCGUGACGACGAGGCACUACGGUGCUGAAGCAACAAAUGCCCUGCUUCCAGGAAAAGCCUCUAAGCAUCAGGUAACACGAAAUCGUACCCCAAACCGACACAGGUGGUCAGGUAGAGAAUACCAAGGCGCUUGAGAGAACUCGGGUGAAGGAACUAGGCAAAAUGGUGCCGUAACUUCGGGAGAAGGCACGCUGAUAUGUAGGUGAAGCGGUUUACCCGUGGAGCUGAAAUCAGUCGAAGAUACCAGCUGGCUGCAACUGUUUAUUAAAAACACAGCACUGUGCAAACACGAAAGUGGACGUAUACGGUGUGACGCCUGCCCGGUGCCGGAAGGUUAAUUGAUGGGGUCAGCGCAAGCGAAGCUCCUGAUCGAAGCCCCGGUAAACGGCGGCCGUAACUAUAACGGUCCUAAGGUAGCGAAAUUCCUUGUCGGGUAAGUUCCGACCUGCACGAAUGGCGUAAUGAUGGCCAGGCUGUCUCCACCCGAGACUCAGUGAAAUUGAACUCGCUGUGAAGAUGCAGUGUACCCGCGGCAAGACGGAAAGACCCCGUGAACCUUUACUAUAGCUUGACACUGAACAUUGAGCCUUGAUGUGUAGGAUAGGUGGGAGGCUUUGAAGCGUGGACGCCAGUCUGCGUGGAGCCGACCUUGAAAUACCACCCUUUAAUGUUUGAUGUUCUAACGUGGACCCGUGA